AGCGGAUUAGUGUAACGGUAGCACACCAGACUCUGACUCUGUUUGUGAGGGUUCGAAUCCUUCAUCCGCUGCCA
RNAcentral lists this transfer RNA (74 nucleotides) under Pseudoflavonifractor sp. An85. RNAcentral's name for it is "tRNA-Gln". It matches the Rfam family "tRNA". From Rfam's summary of the family: Transfer RNA (tRNA) molecules are approximately 80 nucleotides in length. Their secondary structure includes four short double-helical elements and three loops (D, anti-codon, and T loops). The record is from RNAcentral. Lineage: Bacteria; Bacillati; Bacillota; Clostridia; Eubacteriales; Oscillospiraceae. RNAcentral also lists the same sequence under 1 other name.